UACGUAGGGUGCAAGCGUUAAUCGGAAUUACUGGGCGUAAAGCGUGCGCAGGCGGUUUUGUAAGACAGAUGUGAAAUCCCCGGGCUCAACCUGGGAACUGCAUUUGUGACUGCGUAGCUAGAGUACGGUAGAGGGGGAUGGAAUUCCGCGUGUAGCAGUGAAAUGCGUCGAUAUGCGGAGGAACACCGAUGGCGAAGGCAAUCCCCUGGACCUGUACUGACGCUCAUGCACGAAAGCGUGGGGAGCAAACAGG
Molecule: ribosomal RNA, 253 nt
Filed under: uncultured bacterium
Lineage: Bacteria
Description: partial 16S ribosomal RNA
Rfam family: Bacterial small subunit ribosomal RNA
Source: RNAcentral